GAUGAACGCUGGCGGCGUGCUUAACACAUGCAAGCCGAACGGUGAAGCAGGAGCUUGCUCUUGUGGGUCAGUGGCGAGCGGGUGAGUAACACGUGAGCAACCUGCCCCUGACUCUGGGAUAAGCGCUGGAAACGGCGUCUAAUACUGGAUAUGUGAUGUGACCGCAUGGUCUGCAUCUGGAAAGAAUUUCGGUUGGGGAUGGGCUCGCGGCCUAUCAGCUUGUUGGUGAGGUAAUGGCUCACCAAGGCGUCGACGGGUAGCCGGCCUGAGAGGGUGACCGGCCACACUGGGACUGAGACACGGCCCAGACUCCUACGGGAGGCAGCAGUGGGGAAUAUUGCACAAUGGGCGGAAGCCUGAUGCAGCAACGCCGCGUGAGGGAUGACGGCCUUCGGGUUGUAAACCUCUUUUAGCAGGGAAGAAGCGAAAGUGACGGUACCUGCAGAAAAAGCACCGGCUAACUACGUGCCAGCAGCCGCCGUAA
RNAcentral lists this ribosomal RNA (484 nucleotides) under uncultured bacterium. Its description in RNAcentral is "partial 16S ribosomal RNA". It matches the Rfam family "Bacterial small subunit ribosomal RNA", at positions 28 to 523 of the family's 1533-position model. The record is from RNAcentral.